GACGAACGCUGGCGGCGUGCUUAACACAUGCAAGUCGAACGGAAAGUCCCUGCUUUUGUGGGGUGCUCGAGUGGCGAACGGGUGAGUUACACGUGAGUAACCUGCCCUUGACUUUGGUAUAACUUCAUGACACUGGGGCUAAUACCGGCUAGGAGCUCUCGCUUCAUGGUGGGGGUUGGAAAGUUUCGGCGGUUGGGGAUGGACUGGCGGCGUAUCGGCUUGUUGGUGGGGUAGUGGCUUACCAUGGCUUUGACGGGUAGCCGGGCUGAGAGGGGAACCGGCUAAGUCACGCUGGUGAUGCGGCACGGACUCGUCCGGGAGGCAGGGGAGCAGAAUGGUACACUGGGGGCUGAGGGCUGAUGCAGCAAAGCCGCGUCGGGGGAGACGGCAAUGCGGUUGUAAAGCACAUCCGUCUGUCACGAGGCGUGAGUGACAGUAAUGGGUAAAGAAGCACCGGCUAACUACGUG
This 468-nucleotide ribosomal RNA is filed under the name uncultured bacterium. RNAcentral's name for it is "partial 16S ribosomal RNA". It matches the Rfam family "Bacterial small subunit ribosomal RNA", at positions 28 to 507 of the family's 1533-position model. The record is from RNAcentral.